Molecule: long non-coding RNA, 1549 nt
Organism: Sorex araneus (European shrew)
Lineage: Eukaryota; Metazoa; Chordata; Mammalia; Eulipotyphla; Soricidae
Exons: 3
Source: RefSeq, a predicted model, not a curated record
CGGGCAGCGGCGGGGGGCCGGGGGCGCGGCUUGGUGGCGGCCGGGUGCAGCGUCCGCUCCGCUCUGCUCUGCGGAAAAGGGUUUUCUCCGCCCCCCGCCCAUCACUGGGAUCUGGGGGGUGGGGGGGCGGGAUUUUCCGUGCGAGUGCCCCCCUCCGCGGCCGGGAGGAUUUGAGGCUGCAAUCCAGGCGGAGGCUGCAGGGCCCGGGUGAGGUGCCCCCGGCUCCUCGCACGCCUCCCCGGAGCUCUGGAAGGCGCAGCCCCAGGGGACCCUCCCUGCACCCCCGGAGCUGGCAGCCUCGGUGUGACCUCAGGCAAGUUCCUUCUCCUGUUUGGGCCUCAGUUUCCCCAUCUACAGGUGCAAGCGAAAGAGCAGCUCCUGGAGCGGAGGGAAUACAGCAGUGCCCGAGGGAACGUGCCUGAGCCAGUUCCUGCUAGGAUGUACCAGCAACUCGUGGCAAGGUGCAUUCACCGCACGUGCUCGAAGGCCACUACACUGGAUGGCGUGUUCUGAAUACUCCAGCAAGUGCUCUUGAUCUCAGUAGUGCCUGACUUCCUAGGUCGAAGUGCUGUAAUUCCAACUCAAGUACCUGGCUGUGCUCUGGGAGUCUUGGCACCGCAGUCAGCCACAGAGCUGAUGUCUGUCCUGGCUCCAAGGAUGUGGUGUGAUGAGGAGAUAGGGAGAAACUCUCAGGUCCAGGCCGUGACCAAAUUGAUGACAGCUGCCACCACAGAGGACGGCCCCACCUGAUGUGUCCAUGAGUAGACACGUAAGCAGCAGCAGAGAAGGAUCCCAUAAACUCCGAAAGCAAAUGUGACUCUAAGUGCACUUCCAGAUUGAGCCAUGAACUUGCCAGAAAGUCAAUUUACCAGAAGUUUACCCAAGGAUGGAAGAACCAGGACUGUCAUCAACAAAGGUAGACGGCAGGACAUUCUACAAACUACCCACCUUCUCCAAUGAAAAAACGGCACAUGAGGUGGAAAAGGACAGAGAAUCUGCAGACUGAGAAAGACCAAAGAGACACAGCGGCCCCUUGCCACCUGUGGCUCUCCUGGAUCCUGAUUUGCUAACUGGAGAGAAGACAGUAUGGGGCAGGGGAGGGCUCACUCCUCACAGGCAGCUGACCCCAGUUCAGUCACUGGCUCCAUAUACGAUCUCCGAGCACUGCCAGAGGGGCCCAGUAAUCCCAGGCCUGCACUGAAUCACCAGUUGCUUUGAAGGCGCUGCCACAUCACUUGAGCAUCACGUGGGGUCCCCCACCCCCCAAAACGAAAACCUUGAAGACAGAGAAUUCUGAGUCCUGUAUUUUGGCUGAUACUGAAGCCUCACUGGUACACUGGCAAAUUUCGGGAGCGGAGAUGCCUUUUUUAAUUCUGGGUUUUGUUUAUUUUGUUUUUUUAGUCAUCUACUAAAAUAUUUGCAAAGGCCACUGACUCACAUCUGUGACUGGCUUCCAUGGCCCUGGGAGGAGGGGGCAAGGUCGGUGGGAACAAGAGUGGCUGGAGCUGGUGGGAGUGAGUGCUUCACACUUUGCGUAAUAAAAACCAUG